CCUGGGGGUGUUGGAUGAGCUUCAGGAGGCCUGUGAACUUUUUCAAGUUGUACAUAAUAUUUUGUGUGUAAGUUUGUUAUUGGGGAGGUGGUAGAGAAAGUUCAUAGCUCAUAGAUUCUCAAGGGUCUUGGGUUCCAAAAACCUUAAUACCUCCAGACUAGUAGAAAGACAACAAGGUUUGGAGCCACACAGGAAUUUUUAUCUUGGCUGUGCUAUGAUUAUGAGCAGGUUAUCUAGGGAAAUUGUGGAUAUAAUACCUACCUGAUUGACCAAGAUAAAGAUAAUAUGUAUGUAAAGCUACUAGCAUACUAUGUAGAGACUACUCAAUAGUAAUUCAAGAUGUCAUAUUAUUCUAAUGGAAGUGUGUUUAAGAUUUAAACCUACGAGGCAGGCAAGCCUAAAUCUGCUUGUUUGUUAGGUAGACUAGCAUAAAAGGCAUUUCAGAGAUAGAAAACUAACAGCGCUUGCAGACACACAGAUAAGAACUGUGGGUUUGAGAUGAGAGGAACAGAGUGGCUGGCAAAGGAUAAAAUAAGAAAAGCCUGUAUACUGAAAUAAUAGGAGGGUAUUCCCACAGCGAGAACAACUUAAAUGCGGAGUAUGAAAUGAAUAUGAAGUUGGCCUUUGCAUUCUUGAAUGUUUUGGUGAGGAGUAUUUUGAUGUCUUAUUAUUAUGGCAUAGUUGUUUACCCUUACAAUGUAUUAUUUGGUUAGUAUGAAAAAUCUUUUUAAAACUGAGUUUCAACCACAUGGUCAGUAUUCUCAAAUCUGGUAAUUUUACUUUAUCCCAGAUAGAUAAAAUAGUACCCUGUUUAUAUGAUUCUUAGAUGUUUAGAUCAGUAUUUUUCGCUGGCUUCUGUUAAAAGUGCCCUGUAAAAAAAUUACACUAAAAAGUCUGUAGGACCUAGGCAUGUCAUUUAUAGUGGCUGGCCUCUUGCUUAGUUUGGAUUUUUUUUUUAACAAAUUUGAGUUUUGCAUAAGAUAACUCUCGAGUUUUUGAGACUACAUAUUUGGGACCAGAACCAAAGAAAGAAAGGAAAAUAGUUCUAGAUUCCAUAAUACAAAACAGUAAAGAAUAGCUUUUCUGGAUGCCUUCUUCCCACAUUAUACACAACGGGUUUACUCAUAAGUUAUAGACAUUAAACCUGUUUAGAAAUUUAGAAAUUAAAGAACUUCAUACAGAUUUUGCCAUUAGAAGUUGGCAGAGCUGAGUUUGUCCCCAGUUAUCAAAGCAGAUGCUUUUUCUAUGACAUGAUGUUGCUUUGGCCAACAAUUGCAUUCUUACUAUUUACGGGAAAAGUCAAUAAAAAAAAAGCGGGGCAUGAGAAAUACAGAAAAAUUCUUUGUUGGGGCGCCUAGGCAGUUCAAUUGGUUGAGCGUCCAACUUUGGCUCAGGUCAUGACCUUGCAGUUCAUGAGUUUGGAUCCCAAUUGACGUUUGGGCUUGCUGCUGUCAGCUCAGAGCCUGCUUUGGAUCCUCUGUCCUUCUCUUUCUGUCUCUCCCCCACUUUCGGGUACGCGCAUGCACGCGCUCUCUCUCUCUCUCUCUCUCUCUCUCUCUCUCUCUGUCUCUCUCUCAAAAAAUAAAUAAACAUUAAAAAAAAUAAUUAAAAAAAAUUCUUUGUUGGUGUGCCUGAGUGACUCAGUCGGUUAAGCGUCCGACUUUGGCUCAGGUCAUGGUCAUGCUGUUCGUGAGUCCGAACCCCAGGUCUGGCUCCUUGCUGACAGCUCAGACUGGAGCCUGCUUCAGUGUGUCUCCCUCUCUCCCUGCCCCUUCCCUGCUCACGGUCUGUCUGUCUCUCUCAAAGAUAAAUAAACAUUAAAAAAAAAAAAAUUCUUUGCCGGUAUAGAUUUUUAUUUGCAGCCUACUUCCCAACUAGCUUAAGUGAAAAAAAAAAAAAAGAUUAUUGCAACAGAAUACUGCCGUUGAGCUACUUGAAGCACAGGAACCAAGGAAUGGAGAGCGAUCUAUAAAGCUAGGCACUUCUCUUCUUCCUUUUCUCUUCAUAGCCCCUCUAUGAUUUGUUAGUUUCUCUGUCUCUAGAUGACUGGAUACUUGGCUUUGCUUCUUUGCACCUGCUUUACUGUUCUCUUUGUGCAGUUUGGCUUUCACUGUUUGGGACUGCAUAUUCUGAAUAAAGACAAUCCUUUUGGUGUUUAAUCUAUCUCAUUCACUUUAUUUCAGUUUGGGGUAAGAGAUCAGAAUGACUAUAAUUGCUAUAUCUCCUUUUUACAUUACUUAAAGAGUCAUUCAGCUUGCCAGUGACAUGAGUAUUGUGUGAGUUGAACAAGGUGUGGAGCUUGUUCAUACAUAUGGAAGGGAAAGGACUUUUCCUAUGGAAAGAGAGUGAUAGUUCACUAACAAGGCAGGUAGUGCAAAGAGUAGUAAAAAAAUCCUUGAAGGAAAACUGAAAAAAAAAAUUAACUAUUAAGGUUUCAGCCCCAAAUAAACCCUACCCACUUUGCUUCAGAGAAGGGAAAAAGAAAGAUAAAGAGUUGUUAUGUCUUGAGGGGCACUGGGUGGCUCAAUUGGUUAAACGUCCAACUUAUAGUUUCAACUCAGGUUAUGAUCUCCUGGUCCGUGAGUUUGAGCCCCAUGUUGGGCUCUGUUCUGACAGCAUGGAGCCUGCUUGAGAUUCUCUCCCUCUCUCUGCUUAUCCCUCACACGCACUCUCUCUUAAAUAAACUUAAAAAAAAAAGUCAUUAUGACUUGAGAUAACAUUCUUUUGGCUCUGGUAGAGUGUUAUUUUGCAUAUAACAAUACAUAUUAAAAGGCAAAUUUUUGUGUGUGUGAAAACUAUAAAAUUAAAGUAGUCUGUAUGCUGCAUGUUUAUGGUAUCUAAAAUUUAAAUUGUAAUUUCUCAGAGUUCAAAUAUUAGAACCAGAACAUUACCUUUUUGCAAGCAAAUAUUAUUCUAAAGAUCUAUUUUAUUGAAGCAUUGUGUCUGGUCAUUCUUUGUUCACUCCCUGAAUAUAUAUCUGAAAUAUAGCAUUAUCUGAAAGACUAAUAUAUUUUCUUCACAACAGAUUUCGCAUCAAUAAAAUAAAUCUAUAGUACCUUUAGUCCUGAGUCAUCUAAAAAUUAAGUACUGUGAUGUAUUGCCUGGUUGUCACUCUUCCUGUCCUCUGUAUCUGUCUGCUUUUGCGCCUCUGCUACCUUUUGUCUAGUUUUCUUUAUCUACUUUGUCCAUUGACCUGUUUGUGUUUAAGAUUUGUUAAUGUGUGUUGGAAAUGGGUGUUAGAAAUAGAUUCGGAUGUACUGUGUAAUUGAGAAAUUUCCUGUAAUUUAUGCCCAGUGUCUGUAAUUCUUUACCUUUUUUAAAAAGUAAGCUCUACUCUCAACAUGGGGCUUGAACUCACAACCCCAAGAUCAAGAGUCACAUGCUCUACUGACUGAGCCACUGAGGCACCGCUGUAAUUCUUUUCUUUUAAUACUGUAAAUAGAUUAUACAUAAAUGCCAAGGAAGAACAUAGAGUAGAUGGAUAUCAGUAAUAGGAUUCUCAACUGAAAUAACUGGGUAUGUCCAAGUAUUUAUCGUUAAACCUAUUCACUGGCAUUAUUAUAUGUUUAAAAUUUUUUUCUUAUUUAAUUUAUAAUAUGGAUAGCAGAAGAUUAUUAAAGUAAGAGAAAUAUGGUUUUAAUGCUUAAUAUAUGCUUUGGUCUUUUAUGGAAAAGUAAAGAGGAUGGGUACCUGGGUGCCUCAGCUGGUUGGGCCUCCAACUUCAGCUCAGGUCAUGAUCUCAUAGUUGGUGAGUUCGAGGCCACCUUGGUUCUAUGCUGACAACCCAGAGUCUAGACCCUGCUUCGGAUUCUGUGUCUCCCUCUCUAUCUGCCCCUUCCCUGCUUGUACUUUCUCUCAAAUAUAAAUAAAUAAACUUUAAAAAAAAGUUUAAUAAUUCAAAAACUUGAAACAAAAAUUUUUAUUUGUGAAAAUCAACAUUCAUAGGAACUAUUAUUUCCUUUCUUGAUUGAGUAGUCAGGCAGGCAUUGGCUAGGUUCACUUCCUCAGCCUCUUAUUUGUUCCUUUAACCCCCAUUGUAAUUUGAUUUCAAGGUCUACCAUUUUGCUGAAAUUGCAUUUACUAUGGUUGCCCCAGAUCUUCUGGACACAUCUAGUACAUCCUUUAUAGUAAUGUGUAUCUUUGUUGAUGCCUCUUUAGCAUUCAGCACUGUUGACUGUCUUUUUUUUCUUUUCUUUCCUUUUUCUUUUCUUUAAUUUUCUUCUCUUUUCUUUUCUUUAACUUCCUUUCCUUUCCUUUCCUUUCCUUUCCUUUCCUUUCCUUUCCUUUCCUUUCCUAAGUCCUUGCCUUGAUGUUGAAGCAUCAUUUAUACCUACCUCUUUAGUCUCUGUCUCUAAUAGUGGCUCAGAUGCAACAUACUUUUCUGUUUUUUACCCUGGUAUGUCCUAAGGGAAAUAUAAUGGAAUACUUGAAUAUUUAGAAAUCUUACUAAUCUUGUAAAACUGACUAUAGUGACAUGGAUUAUUCUAAUGUUGGUAAAGAGUCUCAAAGAAUAAUAAAAUACUAAUAUUUUCUCAUACUCUACAAUCUUUUUUUUAAUCUUCUUAAAAAAAGUUUAUUUAUUUUGAAAGAGAGUGUGCAUGACUGCAAGGAGGCAGGGGAGGGGCAGAGAGAGAGAAUCCCAAGCAGGCUCUGCACUGUCAGCAUGGAGCCUGAUGUGGGGCUUGAACUUAGAAAUCAUGAGGUCAUGACCUGAGCCAAAAUCAAGAGUCAGAUGCUUAACCAAAUGAGCCACCCAGAUACCCCCAUACUCUACAUUCUUGUGAUGACUAGCAAAUUAUUUUUAUUUUUGGAAAAUGCAACUUAAUCUGAACUAGAAGUAUAGGACGAAUAUUUAACCAAUACAUUUAAUUUUCUGUUACUACUUUAUUAUAUGUCAGUUUUUAUAUUGGUUGCAAACCAUAUAUUGUUUAUGCCAUAUCUAAUACUAUGCCAUAUCUAAGUAUAUUCCAGAAUUAUCAUAUCACUUAUUUUUCUUGUUAAAGAAGGGUUAGAAAAUUUUAUUAAAAAAAGAAAGAAAAUUUUAUUUUAAAAUAGACUGUAGAUUGAAUAUAUAUAUAAAUUGUCACUCUUUUAUCUUUAAGAUAUGUUGUAACUAGAAGAGGGAAGAAAAGUAAUCUUUCAUACUAGUGGGAGGGAAUUUAAUCAUAGGAGGUUAAGGAAGGAAUGAGUAGAUGUCAAGACAGAAAGGACCAGACAAAAGUAGCAUAUCUUUAUGAUAUAUUUGAUUUUAGCAAUUUGAGUGCCUGGUGUUGUUAUAUUGGGUAUUCCAGCAGUGGUAGAUCACAAGUUUUAUCUGGAUUAAACUUAGCCAUUUUUACUGUAUGUAAUUUUGAGUACAUUACUUAAACUACUCUGAAUCUGAGUUUCCUUAUCCACAAAACAGGAGUAUUUUGCAGUGUGAGAAUUAGUUGAAAUGUGAAUAAUAUGUGUUAGAUGUUAUUCUAAAUAAAUGAUAGUUAGGAAUGAAAAGUGAUAAAUGGCAUUGAGAAGUAAAAUAAAUGUGAAAGAAAAAGGCAACCCCUUGCUCUUUUUCUCUUUUGGACUCUCUUGGAUGAUAGAGAAAAAAAUAAUGUGUAUAAUGUAAUUAUCUGAAGAUAUCAUUGAUAGUAACCGGAGUUUUGAUUUUAUCCUCUAAGCCAGUGAUGUCUAAACUUUUUAUUUUUAUUUAUUUAUGUAUGUAUGUAUGUAUGUAUGUAUUUAUUUAUUUAUGGUGCAAAAAGGUUAUUUUAUUAAAGCAUGGGGACAGGGCCCAUGGGCAGAAAGAGCUGCCUAAACUUGAGUUUUAAAAUUUUUAGGUGUGCACCUUCUUGAUAUAGUUUCAUUAACUUAUAAUUUUAUACAUUACUUAUACAACUGUGUAAAAUUUAUUAUUGUAAAAUACAUAUUAAAAAUUAGGAGGAGAUGAAGCCUAAACAAAUAAUAUACGUAAAUUUAAAAAAUAUUUACUAAUGACAAAGUAUAAUUUUUAGUAAAAUUAUAAUACUUUGUAAAAAUCUUGAUUUUAACACUUUGUGAUAUAGUGAUUUGAAAGACUAGCUCUGAAUAUAAUGGCUUCCCUGGAUUGAAAAGAUACCUGGGUGCCUGGGUGGCUUAGUCGGUUAAGCAUACUACUUUUGGUUUCAGCUCAGGUCAUGAUCUCAUGGUUUCAUGAGUUCAAGCCCCAUAUGAGGCUCUGCUCUGUCAACUGGGAGCCUGCUUGAAAUUCUCUCUCUCCCUCUCUGCCCUUCCACCACUUGUACUGUCUCUGUCUCUUUCAAAAUAAAUAAAUAAACUUAAAAAAAAAAAAAAAGAUACCUGACAAGGAUACAUAGAUCCAAAUGGUUUGUUAAAUCAUCAUGCUUAUUAUUUUUUUUUAUUUUUAAUGUUUAUUUAUUUUGGGGGGGGGGGAGCAUUGGCAGGGGAAGGGCAGAGAGAGAAUCUCAAGCAGCCUCCAUGUUGUUAACACAGGCCUGAUGUAGGGCUCGAACCCACAAACCAUGAGAUCAUGACCUAAGCCAAAAUCAAGAGUCAGAUGCUCACCCAACUGAGCCACCCAGGCGUCCCUCAUCAUGCUUAUUUUUAUUUAUUCAUUUAAUAAUUAUUGAAUGCCUACUGUUACCAGGUAUUAUCCUAGACCCUGAAGACUACAACUCCUCAUUGAACAUACAUUCUAUUGGUAAGAGAAAAUAACAUCGUACACAAGUAAAUAUAACUAGGUCAGAUAUUAAGUGCUACAGAGGCCAGUAAACAGUAAGGAGGAAAAAAAGUAGAGUAUAUCAGUUAUCUGUUACCACAAUAAUGUUGUAUAUCAACCACAAAACCUUAGUGGCAUAUAAUAAUAUUCUUGGGGCACCUGGGUGGCUCAGUUGGCUGAGCAUCUGACUGUUGAUUUUGGCUCAGGUCAUGAUCCCAGGGUCCUGGGAUAGAGUCCUGCAUUGGGCUCCAUGCUGAGCAUGGAGCCUGCCUAAGACUCCCUCACUCCCCUCCCUGCUCUUCCCUCCUACUUGUGUGCGUGCUCGCGCACACACACACACUCUCUCUCAAAAAAAAAAAUACGUGUAUAUAUGUGUGUGUGUGUAUAUAUACGUACAUAUAUAUACAUAUAUAUGUACGUAUAUAUACAUAUUUUACAUGCCAUUGGUUUGUCAGCUAAGCAAUUUUGCUGCUCUUGUCUGAGUUCAUUCGUAUUUCUGAGGGUUGGUUGGCUGUCAGCACAUCUAGCCUGGCUGUGGCUGGGAUGACUAGGAUUGCUUGGCACUGUACUAUAUGUUUCUUAUUCCCCAGUAGGCUAUCGGCUGUGGCACGUGGCUGUUGCAGAGGUGCAGCUGAGGGGGAAAGUACGCAAGUUAGAACUGGCACACUGUAACUUCCAUCACAUUCUGUUGACCAAAGCCAGUUACAAUACCAUUUCCACCUCAGAGGGUGGGGGAAUAGAUUCUAUCUUGUAGGUCAAAAGAACUGCAAAGUCAAAUGUGGGUUUAAAAUAUGGAAGGAUGAAAAAUAGGCUUUGAAUAGGAUCAAUCUACCAUUAUCACAGGUAUAGGAGAUACUAUUAAAAAAGGUGGUGAAGACAUUGAACCAAAACUUGAAAUGAGGUUAUCUGCGAGGAGAACAUUCCAGGUAGAGCAUUAAAGGUCCCAUGGACCUAAGUUAAGAGUGUUGAAGGAAUUCUGUGUUUGAGCAGAAUAGGUGACAGAGAAGUAGAUUUGUGGUAGGGUUGGAAGUUACAGCUGACUAGGUUCUUGUAGGUCAUUGUAAGAAUGGCUUUUACUCAGGGCACCUGGGUGGCUCAGUUGAUUAAGCAUACGACUCUUGGUUUCAUCUCAGGUCAUGAUCUCAUAGUUGGUGAGUUUGAGCCCUGCAUCAGACUCUGUGCUGACAGAUUAUCUCCUUCACUCUCUGCCCCUUUCCUGCUUGCACUUUCUUUCUCUCUCUCUCAAAAUAAAUAAAUAAACAUAAAAAAAAAAAGAAGAAGAAUGGCUUUUACUCUAAGUAAGAUGAGAACCUUACUCUUGGGUUUUACUCUUAGGUGUUAUGUUAACUUUAACAGGAUCAUGUGGCUGCUGUAUGGAGAAUAAAAUGUAGAAGGGUAAGGACAGAAGGAGAGACCACUUAAAGCUUUCCACUAGUUGAAGCAGAAGGGCCUGAAGACAAUGAAAAGGGAUAAAUUCAGAAGGCAUUCUGAGGUUGCAUUCACAAGACUUGGUCAUAUUGGAAGCAAAUGGUCUUCCAUUGCAACCAGAGCUGGCUUAAAGCCCAGAGAUUAUGGAAUCCAGAAAAUGAUUUUAAAGCCCUACAAAUGUUGAGGUGGUGCCAGUUUGUGCUUAAUGAACUCUCAUACUUCUCACUACAACCAAAUGAGCAAGAUAUUAUGUCCAUUUUGUAGACGAGGAAACAGAUGGCCAACGUUGUCCUUCAGCAUGGUAAGAGCAGUGGGAGAAGUAGACCUCAAAUAGUAGGUAAUGCCAUGCAGAAGUUUCCUCUUUUAAGGUGCAUCAGUGUAUAUGAUAUGGCAGAAAACUGUUGAUGAAAUAAACAGGGUUUGACAAAGUAAAGGUUUUCUCCUUGUUUGCUCCCAUAGCACUUCGCAUCUAUCUCGAUUAUAAUUCACCAUAUGAUAUUGCAGUUAUAUAUUUAUUUUCUGUUUCUAUUACUAGGUUGUAAGGACUUCGGUGACCAGAGAUCCAGAAUCAGAGAUUCUGAGAUCCAGUGGCCUGAGUCUGUCUUGUCUUUAUACUUUGGUACCUAGCCAAUGGCUGUAUGAUAGGUGCUUGGUAAAUCUUGUUAGAUAAAUUAGUCAUUACAAUAUACUUACAAAGUAUGUUUAUCAGAUAACACAAAUAAUGAUGUGUGUGUGUGUGUGUAUAUAUAUAUAUAUAUGUAUAUAUAUAUAUAUAUAUAUAUAUAUAUAUAUAUAAAAUGCUAUAUAUCUUGUUUAUAUGAUAAACUCUGCAGUAAAUGUCACUAGGUCCUUUACAUUGGAUCCUCAGACUAAUCCAAGUCCUAUUUUUACAGAUGAGGAAUCUGAACUUGCCCAAGGUCACAUGGGUAGUGAGUGGAAGCACUAUUCCAACUAUAAAACUUAUGCUAUUCACUAUUAUGUUUUAUUGCCUCUUUCAGUGUAGUCAUGGAUGGCACCAGCAGCAUGAUCAUCCAUCCCUAAUUUGAGAAAGUGACUGGCAGAACUUUUGAAAUAAGUGUUUGCCUGACACCUAGAAUUUGUUAACAUAUCUGCUGGCUGUCAACUAUUUGUUGACAUUCUUCACCUUAAAUACACUUGAGUGUGGAUUAAACAUGUUAGUGUCCCAUGUCUCUUACCAUGGAAUUAUUUUUUAAGUUUAUUAAUUUAUUUUGAGAGAGGGAGAGAGAGAAUCCCAAGUAGGUUCUGUACCACCAGCGCCAAGCCUGACAUGGGGCUUGAUAUGUGAACCAUGAGAUCAUGACCUGAGCUAAAAUCAAGAGCCAGAUGCUUAACUGAUUGAUCCACCUAGGUGUGCCACAUGUGAACCAUUUUUAAAAAUUUUUAAUUAAUUUUUUUAAUUUACAUCCAAGUUAGCAUAUAGUGCACCACUGAUUUCAGGAAUGGAUUCCUUAAUGCCCCUUACCCAUUUAGCCCACUCCCCUUCUCACAACCCCUACAAUAACCCUCUGUUUGUUCUCCAUAUUUAAGAGUCUCGUACGUUUUGUCCUCCUCCCAGUCUUUAUAUUAUUUUUGCUUCCCUUCCCUUAUGUUCAUCUGUUUUGUAUCUUAAAGUCCUCAUAUGAGUGAAGUCCUAUGAUAUUUGUCUUUCUCUGACUAAUUUCGCUUAGCAUAAUAACCUCCAGUUCCAUCCACAUAGUUGCAAAUAUGUAUAUAUAUAUACCACAUCUUUAUCCAUUCAUCCAUCAAUGGAUAUACAUGUGAACCAUUUUUAAUCACACAUGAGAGGUGACUUCAUCUCUGCAAACUUAUCAAUCAAAGCAUUUCUGUUCAUAUGCCUUUAGUACUCUACUAUUUAGUGUAUAUUUUGAUAAAUAAUAUUUAAUCUACUGAUAAUAUGAUCGUAUGUUUUUAAAGUCUCUUAUCAAUGUAACAACUUCGCUGAAAGAUAAAAUUGUAUUGAAAGUAGAGUGUAGCAUUAAUUUAGUAUGUAAAAGUAAGGCAAAUAGGCUCAUUUUCAGUAGAGAUGGGGAAAUAAUGAAGUACACAAAUAACUAAUGCAAAACUGAGGACAAUACUACAGGACAAAGUGCCAGGAGGAUUCCCUUUUUUUUGCAGCUUUGUUUUACUGUGGUAAAAUGUACACCAUUUUAAACACUUGUAAAAGUAUACAAUUCAGUGGCAUUAAGUACAUUGACAUUUUUGUACAGUGAGGAUUCCUAAAAGAGAAAAGUCAUAUACUGUUAGGACAGUCAUGGAAUGCUUUAUAAGAAAGGAUUUUUAAAAUGAAUCCAUAAGGAUAGGUGAAUUGUGGUGGAGAGACUUUACAAGUACAGGGAACUCUGUGUAAACAAAUGAGAGUGGGAAUAAUAAAUGGACUUUAGGAAACAGCAAUUAAUAGCAGCAUUAACUAAAUAAGAGCAGUAAAAAAAAAUAGCACUUACAGAAAUAGCUAAUAUAGUAGAGUGGUUGGUGAAUUUAUAAGUAUUUUCUUUAAAUUUUUUAAAAAUGUUUAUUUAUUUUUGAGAGACAGCGUGGGCGGGGGAGGGGCAGAGAGAGAGGGAGACACAGAAUCUGAAGCAGGCUCCAGGCUCUGAGCUCUCAGCACAGAGUCUGAUACGGGGCUUGAACUCACAAGCAGUGAGAUCAUGACCUGAACCAAAGUCGGAUGCUCAACUGACUGAGCCACUCAGGUGCCCCUAUAAGUAUUUUCUAAGACAACAAACAAGGAAUAGGUUAAAAUACUGUGAAUUUUAAGAAUAAAUGUUAGGUCAGUUUUCCACAGAUAAAAGUAGAUUUGGUCUGUGUUCAUGAAAUGUUCUGGUCAGCAAAAGAUUUAUAAUUAAAGCAAUCAAUGUUAUUUGGUUAUAGGGGAUAUGAUCUAAAAUAAUUUAACCCCAGAGAUUGCCAGUGUACCCACACUACACAUUGAAUAUUAAGUGUUGUAUGUCCCAAAGAAGUCAAGCUGAUGGUGUAGUAUUGAGUCACACUUAUGUCCUCAUCCUAUUAGAAAUUAGCUGGAUACCUAAGAAUUGUUACCUCACAGAGUAAUGCAGAAACAUACCGCUUUGCCUAAGACUACUUUUUUUAGUAUAAAAAAUAGCUGAAUCAUCAGAUUUCUUCAUUUUAUUUUAUUUUUUUUAUUUUCUUCAAUUUAUUUUAAAAUAAGCAAGUUCAAAAAACUACCUUAGUUGGAUAAAAUUUUUUUUAAUGUAAUAAAUAGUUGCUUAGAGGGAGUCAUUAUGUUGAUGUAAAGAGAUUGAUGAAAACAUCAUUUAGGGGCAAAGCUGAUUCUGAAUUAGAAUGCUUUUUCUCCUGACUUACCUUUAAAGCACAAAUACAAUAAAGAUCAGAUUUGACCUCAUUAAAAAAAAUCUGUAAUAUAAAAGGUAAGCAUAUAGAUUUAGGUAAAAUAUUUUCAAAACAUGUAUCAGUUGAUGGAUUAUAUAAAACAUGAGUAGCUUCUAUAUAUUGAUAAAAA
Long non-coding RNA from Panthera uncia (snow leopard), 11621 nucleotides. RefSeq lists it as uncharacterized. The transcript is spliced from 2 exons. NCBI's taxonomy places the organism in Eukaryota, Metazoa, Chordata, Mammalia, Carnivora, Felidae. The record is from RefSeq and is a predicted model, not a curated record.